CUGUCCGGCCUGCAUGGUCUGUACUAACAGGAGCCUGCCAUCCCCAUUCCUUCGCAGCUCCUGCUGCCUGGGCACAAAUGCCCUGGAGAGUGAGUGACUGUCAGACCAGCCGGAGGGGAGCAAUGGGAAGAGCCGCUUGCUGAGAAGAGGUGGGCUUGGCAGGACUGCAGAUGGAGUACUCUCCCCAACCCCCUGCAGGUGCUUGUCUAAGCCAAGCUGGGAGGAUGGAGGCCGGCCCUGGCCCAGCCCCAGGCAAGGGAGGAGCCUCAGCCCAGAUGGGGCAGGUGGGGAGUCUGGGCUCAGGUGUGUCCUGUGGGAAGUGAUUGCUCCCUGGCUAGCAGAGACAGAGGAAAGCGGAUUGUUGGCCCCAGGACCCAGCUCUGAGAGGCUGGGCUUGUUUCCCCGACUCUGCCUUGGAGGAAAGCAAUGGAAGGGGAAGGGGUAAGAAACUUCAAGGAACUUCGAGCCAAAUUUCAAAAUCUUGAUGCUCCACCUCUUCCAGGACCUAUUAAAUUCCCAGCAGGUGUUUCUCCAAAGGGUGACAUUGGAGGCACACAGUCAACUCAAAUUUUGGCCAAUGAGAAACCCCUCCCAUCCAACCACAAGCAGCGCACACCAUACUGUUCCAGUAGUGAGUCCCAGCCUCUUCAACCUCAGAAAAUAAAGUUGGCUCAGAAGAGUGAAAUUCCAAAAUGUUCUAAUGCCCCAGGGCCUCUGGGAAAGUCUACUGUAUGUUCUGCAGCAAGUUCACAGAAGGCUUCUCUGCUGUUAGAGGUGACUCAAUCAAAUGUUGAGAUAAUCACUAAGGAAAAAGUAAUGGUGGCCAAUAGCUUCAGAAACAAACUCUGGAACUGGGAGAAGGUUUCAUCUCAGAAAAGUGAAAUGUCAUCAGCCCUUCUCCUUGCCAACUGUGGAAGUAAGGCUAUCCAUCUGGAAGGGCAAAAAGGCAUGGGGCUUACUCCAGAGGAACCCAGGAAAAAGCUGGAAACAAAAGGAGCCCAGACUCUUCCUUCCCAGAAGCACGUGGUGGCCCCCAAAAUAUUACGUAACGUCUCUGAAGAUCCCUCUUUUGUAAUUUCUCAACAUAUCAGAAAGAGCUGGGAAAACCUACCUCCUGAGAGGAGCCCGGCAAGCAGCCCCUGCCAGCCCAUCUAUGAGUGUGAGCUUGCCAGUCAGGCCCCAGAAAAACAGCCAGAUGUCAGGCAUCACCACCUUCCCAAAACAAAGCCAUUGCCCUCCAUCGACUCCCUGGGUCCUCCUCCCCCAAAGCCUUCAAGACCUCCCGUCAUGAACCUCCAGGCCUUUCAGAGGCAGCCAGCUGCUGUUCCCAAGACUCAAGGGGAAGUGACUGUGGAAGAGGGCUCCCUGUCUCCAGAGAGGCUUUUCAAUGCAGAAUUUGAAGAACCACAUAAUUACGAGGCAACAAUUUCAUAUCUGAGACACUCUGGCAACUCCAUUAACCUGUGCACUGCAAAAGAAAUUGCUGAUCCAACUUAUGAAGUUGGAAUUGAAGAACUCCAAAAGCCUGGGAAGAAUUUUCCCUAUCCAGAACCUAGUGCUAAACAUGAAGAUAAAAAAAUGAAGGAAAAACAACCAUGUGAAUUGGAACCUAAAAACACAGAAAAGGAACCAUAUUCAAACCAUGUUUUCAAGGUAGAUGCCUGUGAAGGGACACCUGAAAAAAUUCAGAUGACCAACACCCACACAGGUAGAAGGAACAUGUUGGCUGGAAAGCAAGAGGCCAUGAUUGACAUCAUCCAGACAAAUCCCUGCCCUGAGGGCCCAAAGCUGGCCAGGCACUCCCAAGGCCACUGUGGGUAUCUGGAGGUUUUGGAGUCAACUAAAGAAACUCCAGACCUAGGGGUCUCUAAGACAAGUUCCAUCUCGGAGGAGAUAUAUGAUGAUGUCGAGUACUCCAGGAAAGAGGUACCGAAGCUGAACUACUCUAGCUCAUUUGCCUCAAAUAGUGAAGAAAAUAGAGAACUGUAUGAAGAUGUCUACAAAACAAAGAACAACUACCCAAAGAUAGAUUUAGAUGGAAAAGAAGCACUCAAAAGACUGCAGCAAUUCUUCAAGAAAGAAAAGGAUAGAUUUAAAAUAAAGAAAACCAAGUCAAAAGAAAACUUAAGUGCAUUUUCCAUUUUGCUGCCUGAUUUAGAACGUAAGUCUCAGGAAGUUAUUAUCUAUGAUGAUGUAGACCUGAGUGAAAAAGAGUCAAAAGAUGAAGAUAAACUGAAAAUGUGGAAGCCCAAGUUUCUGACACCAAAGGAAAAAAAAGAGAAAAAUGGUGCUGAAGAAUCAGAAAGUUUCUCUCCUAGAAAUUUCUUCAAAACCAAGAAGCAAAACUUAGAAAAGAACAGAAUGAAAAGAGAAGAAAAACUAUUUAGAGAAAGGUUUAAGUACGACAAAGAGAUUAUUGUCAUCAACACAGCAGUGGCCUGUUCCAAUAAUUCAAGAAAUGGAAUAUUUGAUUUGCCAAUAAGUCCUGGAGAAGAAUUGGAAGUCAUUGAUACCGCCGAACAAAAUCUAGUGAUAUGUCGUAAUUCUAAAGGCAAAUGCAUCAAAGUUGGUCACCUUAGAAAGAUCAAGAUCAAAUGCUAUGGACUGCACAAGGGAGAACUAGUCCUAAGAUCCUAGUCCUGCGUUACAUCAGUUUCAGUUUACAUGUCAAAAUUUUGAGAUGGUGGAAUCUGUGGAAACUUUCGUUCUGAACUUAAAAGAGAAAAAUAAAAACAAAUCCUCAACAUUUAGAUGUUGGUUCUACUCCUAAAAGACAAGGCACAGAGAUGGAAGAGCCAUGCUCUGUCUGGUGAUUGAUUGAUUAUGAAGAAAUUCAAAGUAAAUGGAGUGUAGAAUGUCUGGUGGGGAAUGGCAAGAGCUGUUUGUUUGGAAUGCGGUAAGGUGGGGCUAGAAUGUGACAGACUUCACUUGUACCUUUUCCUUUAGAGAGUAAGGAGUCAUUUAAGGGUUAAGCAGGAAGAAAAUGCCAGUUAUUUGGGGGACAGGAAGAAAAUGCCAACUAUUUGGGGGAUGGGAAGCAAUCACCAAUAUGGAUAAUAGAGGAGAGAUUAAUCGUUUUUGCAAUAUUCUAGGCAAAAGGGCAUUACAGCUUAAGACAGCAGCAACAGAAAUAUAUGGUAUAGGAGCCCCAUUAGAGAUAUUACAGAGGUAAAACAGAAUGUCUUGGUGACUAAUUAGAUGUAGCGAUGACAGAGAAGGAGAAUUAGGGAAUGGCUUUGAGACUUCUUUUCUGGGAGAUGAAAUUAAGGCUGGUACCAAAGAUUGGAAAUUUAUUUCUGCUUAGACUAGAGACCAAACUCUGUUUGGACCCCCUGAACUAAAUCUACUACCCAGUGAGAGGCAAUUGCAGCCCUCUCCUGCUCUCCAGGACAAUAAUUGUUAGAGUAGGCAUUGUAGAACACAAGGCUAAGUAUGGUCUGUGGGCAAGAAGAGUAUAUGACUACGUUGAGCAGAAAUCUUUCAUGCAGUAAUCCUGUCCAACAGAGAAUCAUAUACCAUACAUCACUCUUGCCACUUCACCAAGCCAUUAAGCCUUUUAAAUCUUGGAGUGACAGUGGGACUAAAUUUGAAUUCAGAUAAGUUUGUCCCCUGCACUUUCCGCCUCAUUGUUCUAAUUUUCCGCCUCAUUGUUCCGCCCCUUGUUCUAAUUUGACUCACUCAGCUCUUUGCAUCUCAAUUUCCUCAUUAUUAAAACAGGGCUAGGCCGGGCGCAGUGGCUCACGCCUGUAAUCCCAGUACUUUGGGAGGCUGAGGUGGGCGGAUCACUUGAGGUCAGGAGUUCUAUACCACCCUGGCCGAUAUGAUGAAACUGUCUCCACUAAAAAUACAAAAAUUAGCUGGGUGUGCUGGUGCACGCCUGUAAUUCCAGCUACUCAGAAGGCUGAGACAGGAGAAUCACUUGAACCUGGGAGGCGGAGGUUGCAGUGAGCUGAAAUCACGCCACUGCACUCCAGACUGGGUGACAGAGCAAGACUCCGUCUAAAAAAAAGAUAAAUAAUAAUUAAAAAAAAACAGAGCUAAUAACUCUCAUCUCGUCUACUUCAAAGGGUAGUUGUUAUGCUAUAAUGUAAUAAUAUAAAAGUAGUCUAAAAUCCUGAAUACACACUACUGUAUAAGUGGUGUCAUUUUUGUACCUGGCUUUUUCUGAAGUUGGAGAUGCUGAAAACAAAAAUACAUUUUUAAAAUUCAAAUUGUAAGACUUGAAAGAAUGGCUGUUAAGUAAUUUUUUUGCAUAGACAGAAAAAUGUUCAGGGUUAAAAGCCUAUUAAAUAUGGUAUACUAAAGUAUAAACUAUUUUGUCUAAUAUAAACUAGUACCUAACUAUUAUUUAUUGAUAUGGUAUAGGUUUUUAGAAAAAAUGAUUGUUUUUCUAUCCUUUCUAUCCAUACUUAAUGCAGUUAUGUUUCUAUUUCACUAAUAUCAGCCACAUUUCCUCCAUUCUUGGAUUCAAAGCAUCAAAACUAUAUUUUUCACAUUAUUAAUCUGCAAGGUUUCAAAAUGUAAACACCGUAACUAAGACUUCAGUAAUAUUCUAAGCAGAUGUCAUCUGUCUCCUAGAAACCCUAAUUGAGCAUAAAGCUUCAAUGGAAAGACUAAGUUUACCUUUUAUUUUCAAUUUUGUAUAAAAAUAUAGUAAAGAUAAUGGCAUCAUCAGAUAAAAGGCAGCAUACUAAAGCACUUUACUGUAACAGAGGCUUAACACUGGCCUACUCAUAAACUCACUGACAUAUAGGCCAGGCCCUCCAGCAACCUUAAGAUGUCCCAAGACCUCCCUUCCCGCUUCUGAGUUUCUCUGUGAUAUACUCACUCUUCUAAGAUGUCAUAGCAACCUUCUUGACCAGGCCCUCUCCUGCAAAUCUUCAAAACUUUUAAAAGGUAUAUUCUAGGGGGAAGAAAUGGAAGAGGAAAAAUAUGAACAUACAAUAACAAAACUAAGAAGUGGCUGCCUCUUAUUAUGGGUGAGAUUUUUCUGAUUCUUUAAAUUUCCUUCACUUUUCAAAUUUCCUAUAGGAAGCAUCUAUUAUCUAUGCAAUUUAGGAAAUAAAAAAUAUUUUCACUAAUAAAAACAAAUCCAUUCUUUUCCUUCAAGUUUAGAAAAAGCAAAUUGAAAUCUUUACCUGUAUAUCCUGAUUUUAAUAUGCUUGCAUUUUUCUUUUUCAUGAGGGCUAAAGUAUGCUUUUCAAAAAGCACAUAGUCCAGGUGGGCCCAACUUAAUCACAUAAGCCCUUAAAAUUUGAAAAGGAAGGCAGUAAAGUCAGUCUCAGCAAGUCAGAAACAUGUAGUUGAAGAGAAGGAAGAAGAGAUCCAACCCAUAAGCCACUUGUUGCUGGUUUUGAAGAUGAAGGGAGCCAUGGGCCAAGGGAUGAUGGCCUCUAGAAGCUUUAAAUGAUUCCUAGCCAACAGCCAAAAAGGCAACAGGGACCUCAAUCCUACAGCACCAUGGAACGAAAUUCUGCCAACAACUCAAUGCAACUGGAAACAGAUUCUCCUCCACAGCCCAGCCCUAUCAAUGCUUUGGUUUUCAGCUUGUGUGACUUGAGGCAGAAAAACCAGCUAAGCCUGCUGGAUUUCUGACAUAUAGAACAAUAAGAUAAUUUGUAUUUUAAGUCGUUAAGUUUGUAGUAAUUUGUUACAGCAACAGUAGAAAACCAAUGCAAUAACUCAAGUUAAAAACUAUAAUGUACAACUAAGAUGACAAAAAUGAAAAAAGAUGGUGUGAAAUCACCAAUGAGUAUAGGCAAUCUUUUCCACUAACAACUUUCCUGUAACUAUUAGUUGGUGUGC
Molecule: RNA transcript, 5805 nt
Organism: Pan troglodytes (chimpanzee)
Lineage: Eukaryota; Metazoa; Chordata; Mammalia; Primates; Hominidae
Gene: FYB2
Gene name: FYN binding protein 2
Exons: 20
Source: RefSeq, a predicted model, not a curated record